UACGGGGGGAGCAAGCGUUGUUCGGAUUUACUGGGCGUAAAGGGCGCGUAGGCGGUCAGCACAAGUCAGUUGUGAAAUCUCCGGGCUUAACUCGGAAAGGUCAACUGAUACUGUGCGACUAGAGUGCAGAAGGGGCAACUGGAAUUCUCGGUGUAGCGGUGAAAUGCGUAGAUAUCGAGAGGAACACCUGCGGCGAAGGCGGGUUGCUGGGCUGACACUGACGAUGAUGCGCGAAAGCCAGGGGAGCGAACGGG
Molecule: ribosomal RNA, 254 nt
Filed under: uncultured bacterium
Lineage: Bacteria
Description: partial 16S ribosomal RNA
Rfam family: Bacterial small subunit ribosomal RNA
Source: RNAcentral